GAUGAAGAACGCAGCGAAAUGCGAUAAGUAAUGCGAAUUGCAGAAUUUCCGUGAGUCAUCGAAUCUUUGAACGCACAUUGCGCCCGCCAGCACUCUGGCGGGCAUGCCUGUUCGAGCGUCAUUUCAACCCCUCAAGCCCAGCUUGGUGUUGGGGCACUGCGCCUGCAGGCCCCCAAAUCCAGUGGCGGACGCGCCAGGUCCCCGAGCGCAGUAGAUCUUCUCUCGCUCCGGGCGGCCUGCGCGGGCUUGCCUUGCCCCGUACCCAUCAAGGUUGACCUCGGAUCAGGUAGGAAUACCCGCUGAACUUAAGCAUAUCAAUAAGCGGAGGA
RNAcentral lists this unclassified non-coding RNA (329 nucleotides) under soil metagenome. Its description in RNAcentral is "partial contains 5.8S ribosomal RNA, internal transcribed spacer 2, and large subunit ribosomal RNA". The stretch from base 1 to 121 matches the Rfam family "5.8S ribosomal RNA", at positions 35 to 154 of the family's 154-position model. The record is from RNAcentral.